RNAcentral lists this ribosomal RNA (859 nucleotides) under uncultured bacterium. RNAcentral's name for it is "bacterial SSU rRNA". It matches the Rfam family "Bacterial small subunit ribosomal RNA", at positions 28 to 896 of the family's 1533-position model. The record is from RNAcentral.
GAUGAACGCUGGCGGCGUGCCUAAUACAUGCAAGUCGAACGAGGUGCUUUUGUAGCAAUACGAGAGUAUCCUAGUGGCGAACGGGUGAGUAACGCGUUGGUGACCUACCCCAAAGUGUGGGGUAACAGUCCGAAAGGAUUGCUAAUACCGCAUGUGGUCAUUGGGUUUAGAAACUGAUGACUAAAGGAGCAAUUCGCUUUGGGAGGGACCUGCGUCCCAUCAGCUAGUUGGUGAGGUAACGGCUCACCAAGGCGACGACGGGUAGGGGACCUGAGAGGGUGGCCCCCCACAAUGGAACUGAAACACGGUCCAUACACCUACGGGUGGCAGCAGUAGGGAAUAUUGCACAAUGGGCGAAAGCCUGAUGCAGCAACGCCGCGUGUGUGAUGAAGGCCUUCGGGUCGUAAAGCACUUUUCUGGGAGAUGAGAAAGGACAGUAUCCCAGGAAUAAGUCUCGGCUAACUACGUGCCAGCAGCCGCGGUAAAACGUAGGAGGCGAGCGUUAUCCGGAUUCACUGGGCGUAAAGCGCGUGCAGGUGGCGCGGUAAGUUGGGUGUGAAAUCUCCCGGCUCAACUGGGAGAGGUCAUUCAAUACUACCGUGCUUGAGAGCAGAAGAGGAAGAUGGAAUUCCCGGUGUAGUGGUGAAAUGCGUAGAUAUCGGGAGGAACACCAGUGGCGAAGGCGAUCUUCUGGUCUGUUUCUGACACUCAGACGCGACAGCUAGGGUAGUAAACGGGAUUAGAGACCCCGGUAAUCCUAGCCGUAAACGAUGUGAACUUGGCGUUGGUGGGUUAAACUCCAUCAGUGCCGUAGCAAACGCGAUAAGUUCACCGCCUGGGGACUACGGCCGCAAGGUUA